AAGCUAUGCUGGCGCAGAUGAAAGCUUCUAACUUUAUAUCUGAACGGUUCAACUCCUUUCAUAGCUUU
This 68-nucleotide transfer RNA is filed under the name Platynereis dumerilii (Dumeril's clam worm). RNAcentral describes it as "tRNA-Ser". The record is from RNAcentral. Lineage: Eukaryota; Metazoa; Annelida; Polychaeta; Phyllodocida; Nereididae.